GUACCGGUACAGAGUCAGUGUGGAGGCUAUAUACAGGGGGUACCGGUACAGAGUCAGUGUGGAGGCUAUAUACAGGGGGUACCGGUACAGAGUCAAUGUGGAGGCUAUAUACAGGGGGUACCGGUACAGAGUCAGUGUGGAGGCUAUAUACAGGGGGUACCAGUACAGAGUCAGUGUGGAGGCUAUAUACAGGGGGUACCGGUACAGAGUCAAUGUGGAGGCUAUAUACAGGGGGUACUGGUACAGAGUCAAUGUGGAGGAUAUAUACAGGGGGUACUGGUACAGAGUCAAUGUGGAGGCUAUAUACAGGGUGUCAGGUACAGAGUCAGUGUGGAGGCUAUAUACAGGGUGUUACGGUACAGAGUCAAUGUGGAGGCUAUAUACAGGGGGCACCGGUACUGAGUCAGUGUGGAGGCUAUAUACAGGGUGUUACGGUACAGAGUCAAUGUGGAGGCUAUAUACAGGGGGUACCGGUACAGAGUCAGUGUGGAGGCUAUAUACAGGGGGUACCGGUACAGAGUCAGUGUGGAGGCUAUAUACAGGGGUUACUGGUACAGAGUCAGUGUGGAGGCUAUAUACAGGGGUUACUGGUACAGAGUCAAUGUGGAGGCUAUAUACAGGGGUUACUGGUACAGAGUCAGUGUGGAGGCUAUAUACAGGAGGUACCGGUACAGAGUCAAUGUGGAGGCUAUAUACAGGGGGUACCGGUACAGAGUCAGUGUGGAGGCUAUAUACAGGGUGUUAUGGUACAGAGUCAGUGUGGAGGCUAUAUACAGGGGGUACCGGUACAGAGUCAGUGUGGAGGCUAUAUACAGGGGGUACCGGUACAGAGUCAGUGUGGAGGCUAUAUACAGGGGGUACCGGUACCGAGUCAGUGUGUGUGGGGGUACAGGUUAGUUGAGGUAAUUUGAACAUGUAGGUGGGGGUGAAGUGACUAUGCAACAUGUGAGCAAGCUGACUAUGAUGAGCCUUUGAGUAAUGCCCUGAAGAAGCUGGAAGUGACAUUUUUCAACGUCGUUGUUGAUGCUGCAACCUCAGCCCUUCAGGAAAGAUUUUCCACAUUGGAAAAUGUGGGAGAGAAGUUUGGAGUGCUGUCAACCUUCCAAAGUCUCUCAGAUGAGGAGCUGACAGAACAAUGUGAGGCCCUUAGUGUGACACUGCACUAUAAAGAACACUCAGACUUGGAUGGCAGAGAGCUUGCACAGGAACUGAAGAACUUGUCUGACUUGUCAUCGAAGACCAUGACCCUGCUUGAGCUGCUGCUAUUUAUACAUGAAAGGGAGCUCUCAGAAAUGUAUCCAGAUUUGUGGACUGCUCUCAGAAUUUGUCUUACUCUUCCAGUGAACCCUAGCUGAAGCAGAGAGGAGCUUUUCAUAGCUGAAGCUCAUCAAAUCCUACCUGUCCACCAUGUCACAGGAACACCUUAGUGGCCUUGCUGUCAUCAGUAUUAACCAUACAGUUGCUGGGCAGAUUUCUUAUGAUGAUGUAAUUGAUGACUUUGCAUCAAGGAAGGUCAGGGUUUAGAUGGCAGUUGUGCAAUUUAGUUUGUGUUUCUUGUUUCAAUAGUGCAAUAGUG
RNAcentral lists this long non-coding RNA (1576 nucleotides) under Salmo salar (Atlantic salmon). Its description in RNAcentral is "lncRNA (ENSSSAG00000098599.1)". The record is from RNAcentral. Lineage: Eukaryota; Metazoa; Chordata; Actinopteri; Salmoniformes; Salmonidae.